Long non-coding RNA from Oncorhynchus keta (chum salmon), 1080 nucleotides. RefSeq lists it as uncharacterized. Lineage: Eukaryota; Metazoa; Chordata; Actinopteri; Salmoniformes; Salmonidae. The record is from RefSeq and is a predicted model, not a curated record. The transcript is spliced from 7 exons.
ACAGGGGGUUUAGUUGUAUCUGGUGUAGGGGUACAGGGGGUUUAGUUGUAUCUGGUGUAGGGGUACAGGGGGUUUAGUUGUAUCUGGUGUAGGGGUACAGGGGGUUUAGUUGUAUCUGGUGUAGGGGUACAGGGGGUUUAGUUGUAUCUGGUGUAGGGGUACAGGGGGUUUAGUUGUAUCUGGUGUAGGGGUACAGGGGGUUUAGUUGUAUCAAGUGUAGAGAGUAGGGGUACAGGGGGUUUAGUUGUCUGUGGUGUAGAGAGUAGGGGUACAGGGGGUUUAGUUGUAUCUGGUGUAGAGGGUAGGGGUACCGGGGGUUUAGUUGUAUCUGGUGUAGAGGGUAAGGGUACAGGGGGUUUAGUUGUAUCUGGUGUAGAGGGUACAGGGGGUUUAGUUGUAUCCAGUGUAGAGAGUAGGGGUACAGGGGGUUUAGUUGUAUCUGGUGUAGGGGGUAGGGGUACCGGGGGUUUAGUUGUAUCUGGUGUAGAGGGUAAGGGUACAGGGGGUUUAGUUGUAUCUGGUGUAGGGGGUUUAGUUGUCUAUGGUGUAGAGAGUAGGGGUACAGGGGGUUUAGUUGUAUCUGGUGUAGGGGUACAGGGGGUUUAGUUGUAUCUGGUGUAGGGAGUAGGGGUACAGGGGGUUUAGUUGUAUCUGGUGUAGGGGUACAGGGGGUUUAGUUGUAUCUGGUGUAGGGGUACAGGGGGUUUAGUUGUAUCUGGUGUAGAGAGUAGGGGUACAGGGGGUUUAGUUGUAUCUGGUGUAGGGGUACAGGGGUUUAGUUGUAUCUGGUGUAGAGAGUAGGGGUACAGGGGGUUUAGUUGUAUCUGGUGUAGGGGGUUUAGUUGUAUCUGGUGUAGGGGGUUUAGUUGUAUCUGGUGUAGGGGGUUUAGUUGUAUCUGGUGUAGGGGGUUUAGUUGUAUCUGGUGUAGGGGUACAGGGGCUUUAGUUGUAUCUGGUGUAGGGGUACAGGGGGAUUAGUUGUAUCCGGUGUCGGUCCGGUAGGAGGAGUGGUUGUCUGACGUCAGCCUGGUGGUCUCUGUUCCAGACGGCUGCAUCAUGAUGGGGUCCCCACCAACGUCU